Molecule: ribosomal RNA, 398 nt
Filed under: Acanthamoeba sp.
Lineage: Eukaryota; Discosea; Longamoebia; Acanthamoebidae
Description: SSU rRNA
Rfam family: Eukaryotic small subunit ribosomal RNA (bases 1-357)
Source: RNAcentral
GGCAGGCAGAUCCAAUUUUCUGCCACCGAAUACAUUAGCAUGGGAUAAUGGAAUAGGACCCUGUCCUCCUAUUUUCAGUUGGUUUUGGCAGCGCGAGGACUAGGGUAAUGAUUAAUAGGGAUAGUUGGGGGCAUUAAUAUUUAAUUGUCAGAGGUGAAAUUCUUGGAUUUAUGAAAGAUUAACUUCUGCGAAAGCAUCUGCCAAGGAUGUUUUCAUUAAUCAAGAACGAAAGUUAGGGGAUCGAAGACGAUCAGAUACCGUCGUAGUCUUAACCAUAAACGAUGCCGACCAGCGAUUAGGAGACGUUGAAUACAAAACACCACCAUCGGUGCGGUCGUCCUUGGCGUCUCGGUUUCGGCCGGGGCGCGGGGAUGGCUUAGCCCGGUGGCACCGGUGAA